This 1071-nucleotide long non-coding RNA is filed under the name Callithrix jacchus (white-tufted-ear marmoset). RNAcentral describes it as "lncRNA (ENSCJAG00000072757.1)". The record is from RNAcentral. Lineage: Eukaryota; Metazoa; Chordata; Mammalia; Primates; Cebidae.
CCAUCAAGUUUACAUUUUUAACUGUUAAGUUAUAGCCCCUGGGGCAGAAAAGCAUUCUGGAAACAUAUGAACUUAUAUGGUGACUCCAGCUUUCUUAACCAUGGACCAUUCACCCAGCAAUAGAAGAAGAAAGUUAUGGAAGCUACUAGGUAAUUUCCUUUAGGUAACAUCUUUGGCCCCUUCUGUCAUGUGUCCCAUUCCACAUUUCCUCUGCCCACUCUGUCUAUAAGCCUUGGAAAGGCACUGGGAAUCAGGCUCUCAUUCUGUUCCUGACCUUCUGGUGUUUGUACUUGGCUUGUGGCUGCUGGCCACUGACUGGUUUGCCUUCAGUUCCACCCCUUGGAAGCCAGGAUAAUGCUGGUGAAUUGACAGACCCACUUAGAAAAACGGUUAGUCUCCCUUCCAUCUUUUUAAAGGGCAAGUCUAGAGAUGAAUUUAGUCAGUUACUAUUUAAAAAAAGUCUUCAUAAAAAAUGAGGUUAAGGCAGGUGUCUUUUACAUCGGUUAAAUGUGAAUCUUGGCAUAAAAAUUUGUCUCUGGCUCAACAUCCUUUGCCCUUUCCACAAAAAUGUGUUUACCCAAGAUAAAAAUAAUUUUGCAUUGCCUGUGAACUCUGGGGUUCUAUAUUCUAGAUUCACUGUGAUUUUAUUCCCAAUCUUUUUGUUGUUAGAUGUUGUCUUCCUGACUUCCAUGCCUGGUUACAGUCUCUGACAAACUACUCUUGUUAUCUGCAGAAGGGCAGAUAUUUUAUAGUUCAAAAAUGCGAAUGGCCGAUUUAGACUCUUGAAAUGUAUUGAAAGAAUAAUCUGCCUUCAUUUGGUAUUAUACAGAAAUCACCUCUGCAGAGAUGUUCUGGAGGAACAUUUAUUCUGGCCUGUUUUCUACAAUCCUCUCGGGAAAGUUAAACUGGCUAAUGAGCACUGGACUAGGAGACGGUGUCAAAUCCCGCCUCUGCCAUCUUCUUCUUCUUGUUUUACCUGCAAAUGUCUCAUUUUCCACUGCAACUGCUUGCAGCUGUAUCCCUCCACAAAUGGAAACAGAAUGCUCGCAGCAACCACCACCAAACGUAUAA